GACGAACGCUGGCGGCGUGCUUAACACAUGCAAGUCGAACGGAAAGGCCUUUUCGGCGGUACUCGAGUGGCGAACGGGGGAGUAACACGUGGGUGAUCUGCCCUCCACUCUGGGAGAUGCCUGGGAAACUGGGUCUAAUACCGGAGAGGACCGCACUUUUGAGUGUGUGGGGGAAAGUGUUUUCGGUGUAGGAUGAGCGCGCGGCCUAUCAGCUUGUUGGUGGGGUAAUGGCCUACCAAGGCGGCGACGGGUAGCCGGACUGAGAGGUUGGUCGGCCACAUUGGGACUGAGAUACGGCCCAGACUCCUACGGGAGGCAGCAGUGGGGAAUAUUGCACAAUGGGCGCAAGCCUGAUGCAGCGACGCCGCGUGGGGGAUGACGGCCUUCGGGUUGGAAACUCCUUUCGCCAGGGACGAAGCGUUUUGUGACGGUACCUGGAGAAGAAGCACCGGCUAACUACGUG
RNAcentral lists this ribosomal RNA (463 nucleotides) under uncultured bacterium. RNAcentral describes it as "partial 16S ribosomal RNA". It matches the Rfam family "Bacterial small subunit ribosomal RNA", at positions 28 to 507 of the family's 1533-position model. The record is from RNAcentral.